AACAAGGUCUCCGUUGGUGAACCAGCGGAGGGAUCAUUACCGAGUUUACAACUCCCAAACCCCUGUGAACAUACCACUUGUUGCCUCGGCGGAUCAGCCCGCUCCCGGUAAAACGGGACGGCCCGCCAGAGGACCCCUAAACUCUGUUUCUAUAUGUAACUUCUGAGUAAAACCAUAAAUAAAUCAAAACUUUCAACAACGGAUCUCUUGGUUCUGGCAUCGAUGAAGAACGCAGCAAAAUGCGAUAAGUAAUGUGAAUUGCAGAAUUCAGUGAAUCAUCGAAUCUUUGAACGCACAUUGCGCCCGCCAGUAUUCUGGCGGGCAUGCCUGUUCGAGCGUCAUUUCAACCCUCAAGCACAGCUUGGUGUUGGGACUCGCGUUAAUUCGCGUUCCCCAAAUUGAUUGGCGGUCACGUCGAGCUUCCAUAGCGUAGUAGUAAAACCCUCGUUACUGGUAAUCGUCGCGGCCACGCCGUUAAACCCCAACUUCUGAAUGUUGACCUCGGAUCAGGUAGGAAUACCCGCUGAACUUAAGCAUAUCA
This 541-nucleotide ribosomal RNA is filed under the name uncultured fungus. Its description in RNAcentral is "eukaryotic LSU rRNA". The stretch from base 188 to 341 matches the Rfam family "5.8S ribosomal RNA". The record is from RNAcentral. Lineage: Eukaryota; Fungi.